GAGCUCGUGGCGCAACGGUAGCGCGUCCCACUCCAGACUAGAAGGUCACGAGUUCAAGUCACGUCGGGCUCA
RNAcentral lists this transfer RNA (72 nucleotides) under Echinostoma caproni. It matches the Rfam family "tRNA". Rfam says of the family: Transfer RNA (tRNA) molecules are approximately 80 nucleotides in length. Their secondary structure includes four short double-helical elements and three loops (D, anti-codon, and T loops). Further hydrogen bonds mediate the characteristic L-shaped molecular structure. tRNAs have two regions of fundamental functional importance: the anti-codon, which is responsible for specific mRNA codon recognition, and the 3' end, to which the tRNAs corresponding amino acid is attached (by aminoacyl-tRNA synthetases). tRNAs cope with the degeneracy of the genetic code in two manners: having more than one tRNA (with a specific anti-codon) for a particular amino acid; and 'wobble' base-pairing, i.e. permitting non-standard base-pairing at the 3rd anti-codon position. Lineage: Eukaryota; Metazoa; Platyhelminthes; Trematoda; Plagiorchiida; Echinostomatidae. The record is from Rfam by way of RNAcentral.